GACGAACGCUGGCGGCGUGCUUAACACAUGCAAGUCGAACGGAGAAGCGCCUUCCUUUUUGGUGGGUGUGGAUGAGUGGCGAACGGGUGAGCAAGACGUGAGUAACCUGCCCCCUUCUGCUGGAUAACCGCAUGAAAGUGCGGAUAAUACGGGAUAUUCUGGGUCUGUCGCAUGAUGGGUCUGGGAAAGAUAUUGUUUCGGUGGGGGAUGGGCUCGCGGACUAUCAGCUGGUUGGUGGGGUGACGGCCUACCACGGCGGUGACGGGUCGCCGGCCUGAGAGGGUGGCCGGUCCCACUGGGGCUGCGCCGCCGCGCAGACUCCUACGGGAAGCAGCAGUGGAUAGUAUUGCACAGUGGGAGCCAUCCUGAUGCAGCGCCGCGGCGUGAGGGAUGGAGGCCUUCGGGUUGUGAACCUCUUUCGCCAGUGAAGCAGGCCUGCCUCGUUUGUGGGUGGGUUGACGGUAGCUGGAUAAGAAGCGCCGGCUAACUACGUG
RNAcentral lists this ribosomal RNA (494 nucleotides) under uncultured bacterium. Its description in RNAcentral is "partial 16S ribosomal RNA". It matches the Rfam family "Bacterial small subunit ribosomal RNA", at positions 28 to 507 of the family's 1533-position model. The record is from RNAcentral.